UUAUCCGGAUUUACUGGGUGUAAAGGGCGAGUAGGCGGAUUGGCAAGUUGGGAGUGAAAUGUCGGGGCUUAACCCCGGAACUGCUUCCAAAACUGUUGAUCUUGAGUGAUGGAGAGGCAGGCGGAAUUCCCAGUGUAGCGGUGAAAUGCGUAGAUAUUGGGAGGAACACCAGUGGCGAAGGCGGCCUGCUGGACAUUAACUGACGCUGAGGAGCGAAAGCGUGGGGAGCAAACAGGAUUAGAUACCCUGGUAGUCCACGCCGUAAACGAUGGAUACUAGGUGUGGGAGGUAUUGACCCCUUCCGUGCCGCAGUUAACACAUUAAGUAUCCCACCUGGGGAGUACGACCGCAAGGUUGAAACUCAAAGGAAUUGACGGGGGCCCGCACAAGCAGUGGAGUAUGUGGUUUAAUUCGAAGCAACGCGAAGAACCUUACCUGGUCUUGACAUCCCGAUGACCGGCCUAGAGAUAGGCUUUUCUCUUCGGAGACAUCGGUGACAGGUGGUGCAUGGUUGUCGUCAGCUCGUGUCGUGAGAUGUUGGGUUAAGUCCCGCAACGAGCGCAACCCUUAUUGUUAGUUGAUACAUUUAGUUGAUCACUCUAGCGAGACUGC
Molecule: ribosomal RNA, 612 nt
Filed under: uncultured bacterium
Lineage: Bacteria
Description: bacterial SSU rRNA
Rfam family: Bacterial small subunit ribosomal RNA
Source: RNAcentral